This 481-nucleotide long non-coding RNA is filed under the name Cairina moschata (Muscovy duck). RNAcentral's name for it is "domestica (muscovy Duck (domestic type)) lncRNA (ENSCMMG00000010796.1)". Lineage: Eukaryota; Metazoa; Chordata; Aves; Anseriformes; Anatidae. The record is from RNAcentral.
UGUUCACACUGAGCUUAGAGCUCCUCUCUAAAACACCUCCCGGCCAUUCAGCCUCCCUUUCUUCAUUCUUUUCUCUUCCCAACAGGUCUGACCAGGUUUGAGGAUUAUCCGUGCCCCCUGGGAUACUGGUGCCCUGGUAAAGGGGACGCUUUCCUUUGUCCACCUGGUACUUCCAGGAGCCAGCCUGGUGCAAAAUCACUGGAAGAGUGUGAUCCCUGCUCACCUGGGUACUAUUGCCCAGACCCAGCACACACAGGGCUACCUAACAGCCAAGGAAUACCUUGUAAACCUGGCUUUGAAUGCCCAGCAGGUUCAGUGAAUCCAAAGCCUUGCAGACCUGGCUCAUACUGUGGUGCUCACACAGCUGUGCCUUCUGUGUGCCCUGCUGGAUAUUACUGUCCUGAAGGCUCAUCAACGUACAAUAGCCCUGAGCAGCUGUGUGUGUUUCCCUACUACUGUCCCUCAGGCAGUGCCCAUCCAC